This 459-nucleotide ribosomal RNA is filed under the name uncultured bacterium. RNAcentral's name for it is "bacterial SSU rRNA". It matches the Rfam family "Bacterial small subunit ribosomal RNA", at positions 338 to 795 of the family's 1533-position model. The record is from RNAcentral.
CCUACGGGUCGCACCAGUAGGGAAUAUUGGGCAAUGGACGGAAGUCUGACCCAGCCAUGCCGCGUGCAGGAUGAAGGCGUUAUGCGUUGUAAACUGCUUUUUUAUAGGAAGAAGGAGACCUUGCGAGGUUUGGUGACGGUACUAUAAGAAUAAGCACCGGCUAACUCCGUGCCAGCAGCCGCGGUAAUACGGAGGGUGCGAGCGUUGUCCAGAUUUAUUGGGUUUAAAGGGUGCGUAGGCGGUUUAUUAAGUCAGUGGUGAAAGACGGUCGCUCAACGAUUGCAGUGCCAUUGAUACUGGUAGACUUGAGUUCGUAUGAGGUAGCUGGAAUGGAUAGUGUAGCGGUGAAAUGCAUAGAUAUUAUCCAGAACUCCAAUUGCGUAGGCAGGUUACUAAUACGAUACUGACGCUGAUGCACGAAAGUGUGGGGAUCAAACAGGAUUAGAUACCCGCGUAGUC